CCAGACUCCUACGGGAGGCAGCAGUGGGGAAUAUUGGGCAAUGGGCGCAAGCCUGACCCAGCAACGCCGCGUGAAGGAAGAAGGCUUUCGGGUUGUAAACUUCUUUUCUCAGGGACGAAUAGAUGACGGUACCUGAGGAAUAAGCCACGGCUAACUACGUGCCAGCAGCCGCGGUAAUACGUAGGUGGCAAGCGUUAUCCGGAUUUAUUGGGUUUAAAGGGUGCGUAGGCGGAAUGCCAAGUCAGCGGUAAAAUCGCGGGGCUCAACCUCGCGCCGCCGUUGAAACUGGCGUUCUUGAGUGGGCGAGAAGAAGGCGGAAUGCGUGGUGUAGCGGUGAAAUGCAUAGAUAUCGCGCAGAACUCCGAUUGCGAAGGCAGCAUGCCGGCUCCACACUGACGCUGAGGCACGAAAGCGUGGGUAUCGAACAGGAUUAGAUACCCCCGUACA
This 447-nucleotide ribosomal RNA is filed under the name uncultured bacterium. RNAcentral describes it as "bacterial SSU rRNA". It matches the Rfam family "Bacterial small subunit ribosomal RNA", at positions 331 to 794 of the family's 1533-position model. The record is from RNAcentral.